Long non-coding RNA from Helianthus annuus (common sunflower), 1776 nucleotides. RefSeq lists it as uncharacterized. The transcript has 2 exons. NCBI's taxonomy places the organism in Eukaryota, Viridiplantae, Streptophyta, Magnoliopsida, Asterales, Asteraceae. The record is from RefSeq and is a predicted model, not a curated record.
AUAACUAGGAACAAACUAACCUAGUGGUAACAUGUAUAUAAGUAACAAGAUAAUGAGUUUAACUCAUUUAUAAGCAAAUCGAAACUUGAGGGACUAUUAUUGGGCAAUUUGAAAGAUGAAAAAUUAAAAUCAUAUAAAACACCAAAACUCACACACUGAUAUGUGAGUUUGUCGACCAAACAAGAAAAGAACAAGGGGAAACCCUUCUUGAUCAUGAAUCAGCCCAAUUGAAAGGAAAUUGAAGAUUUUUAUGAUGCAUGUAUCAAGAUUUUCAAUCUCCUAAGUGUUCUUCACGCCAAGUGUAGCAAGGCUUGGAAGACAACAUGGCAAACAAGUGGAAAUGGUGACGAAUUUCUUACGGGCAAAGGUAAGUGAUUCCGAAUCACUUCUUAGUAUGUGUAUAUAUAUAAUUUUGAUAUUUAUGGAUGUGGGGAAGUUAUGUAAGGUUGUGUAAUGAAUGAGAGUAUUAAGAUAAGUAUUAAUUUUAUUAGACAAAGAUAGUUAUCUAAGACGAAGGUAUAAUGGUGGGAUUAAACGGGUCGAAUAAAUAUGCAUAAGUAAUGUAACGAUAAUGAAAUUCGUAAAGAUUAAGGACCCGGGGUAGUGAUUUUAGUCAAUUAUGUAAGGAUUUGUUUUACGGACAAUUAGGAACAAGUUCCAAGUGAUACGGAUACAAAACGAUCAAGUUAUGAGAGUUUUGGUAUUAAAAUGGUGGGCUGAACUGGGCAAUAUCGUAGCUUACGGUACCCACCGUAGGCUACGGUAGGUGCUGAAAACCCUUCUUCCACCGUAAGGCAGUUUAAAGGAACCGUAAGCUUUUAGGUGCCACCGUAAGCUACGGUAGUCACCGUAGCUUACGGUAGAGGCUGUCGCGCCCUGCGAUAAUAGGAGUAAAGUCUCUCGCGGCCCGCGAGAGACCACUGAACUGGCAAAAGUCCCUAAUUUUGUUGUUUUUGGACAUGGAACUUGUUUUAAUUUGUUUUCAAGGCCUCAUAACUAGUGUUUAAGAUGGUUUUGAUUAUAAGUAAAUGUUAUGGGACUCCGGAUAGUAUAGGUAUCGAUUUCCCUUCGUGUUAGUGAAGGAAAUCUAUAAGUAAACGUGUCUGGAAACGAGUAAGUAUGUAGGUUGAUAUGUAUGAAACUUAUAUUAUGGAAAGUUGUGAAUAUGAUAUGUUAGUAUAAAUAUAUGUGAAUAAUAGUGAUAAGCAAGAGCUCGUAUGUAUGUAUAUAGGUGUAUAUGAUUGAACGUAUGUAGGAACUAGGAAUGUAUGCAUGUAUGAACGUAAGUUGCUGUGAAUGUAUGUAGGAAUGGUUUCAAAACGUUUGGGUAUUGACGAUUACUAAUGAUGUGCCUUGAGAUUGAAAUGUAAUGCAGGUAUGAGAUCGACGGGUUCGUGAAAAAUUGAAGCCGAACUUGGAUUAAGAGAAUUUAAAGAAUGCUUGAAUGAAUCCAAGUUUACAUUACGGAUUGUUAUACGAUUCUCAAUUAUAUAGAAUAAUGUUGUAUGGUGUGUCAAGGACUAACGGUUAAGUUGUAUAUGAUGUCCACAGGUAUCACACGGAAUUCUUGUACCACUAACGAAGAUAAGCGGGCGUAGAUCGAGUCAAAGAGCAAGGAUUGUACGGAAGAACGGUCACAUAGUUUGAAUUAUAUAACGCUUUGAAGUAUUAAUUUAAGUGUGAACGUCGUGAAUCACUUCUAGAAAACGUAUGACAUUUUAUAAUUGAGCAUUCACGUAAUUAAUGUCGUUAAUAAAGAAAGAAAUUUUAAGGCUC